CACCAUUUAGAUAGCAUUGGCUCGCCGCAGAGACGUCGCCGGCUCGCCACCAUGAGCUACAGAGGUGGCGGGAGCAGCGAAGGGGCCGAGCGCUGUCGUAUGUCGUGCGGCGGCCACACCGCAGGUAGCCACUCACGGCAACUACGCGCACGCACGCACCGGCCGCCGUCGCGCCGCGAGCUUCGCCUGGCUGUGCACUGCCGCAACCACACGUGAGUUCUUCCGACACGCACCGCCCACAGUCGACCUGCGAGCCACACAUGCACCGCCGCGAAGCGCUGCUUGAUCCCCUCCAUGGACUCGUGCUCGCCAUCGCAGUCCGUCGCCCUGGCCACGGAGAGGGCCAAGAUCCAUGGAGCUGCUCGUGGGGUGAGCAUAUCGUCCUCGUGCUCCUCAAUUCUGCUGGGGUAUCGUUUGGGCUGGGUGGCAGAGAUGGCAAAUUCCUCCUCGGGUGUCUUAG
RNAcentral lists this ribosomal RNA (460 nucleotides) under Triticum aestivum (bread wheat). RNAcentral describes it as "partial small subunit ribosomal RNA". The record is from RNAcentral. Lineage: Eukaryota; Viridiplantae; Streptophyta; Magnoliopsida; Poales; Poaceae.